AGGGUUCGAUUAUGGCUCAGAUUGAACGCUGGCGGCAUGCUUUACACAUGCAAGUCGAACGGUAACAGGUUAAGCUGACGAGUGGCGAACGGGUGAGUAAUGCAUCGGAACGUGCCCGAUCGUGGGGGAUAACGCAGCGAAAGCUGCGCUAAUACCGCAUACGAUCUGAGGAUGAAAGCGGGGGACCGUAAGGCCUCGCGCGAUCGGAGCGGCCGAUGUCAGAUUAGGUAGUUGGUGGGGUAAAGGCUCACCAAGCCGACGAUCUGUAGCUGGUCUGAGAGGACGACCAGCCACACUGGGACUGAGACACGGCCCAGACUCCUACGGGGGGCAGCAGUGGGGAAUUUUGGACAAUGGGCGCAAGCCUGAUCCAGCAAUGCCGCGUGCAGGAAGAAGGCCUUCGGGUUGUAAACUGCUUUUGUACGGAGCGAAAAGGUCUUCCCUAAUACGGGAGGCUGAUGACGGUACCGUAAGAAUAAGCACCGGCUAACUACGUGCCAGCAGCCGCGUAAUACGUAGGGUGCGAGCGUUAAUCGGAAAU
This 541-nucleotide ribosomal RNA is filed under the name uncultured bacterium. RNAcentral describes it as "bacterial SSU rRNA". It matches the Rfam family "Bacterial small subunit ribosomal RNA", at positions 8 to 552 of the family's 1533-position model. The record is from RNAcentral.